RNAcentral lists this ribosomal RNA (497 nucleotides) under uncultured bacterium. RNAcentral describes it as "partial 16S ribosomal RNA". It matches the Rfam family "Bacterial small subunit ribosomal RNA", at positions 28 to 507 of the family's 1533-position model. The record is from RNAcentral.
GAUGAACGCUGGCGGCGUGCCUAAUACAUGCAAGUCGAGCGAACGGACGAGAAGCUUGCUUCUCUGAUGUUAGCGGCGGACGGGUGAGUAACACGUGGAUAACCUACCUAUAAGACUGGGGUAACUUCGGGAAAACGUAGCUCAUACCGGAUAAUAUUUUGAACCGCAUGGUUCAAAAGUGAAAGACGGUCUUGCUGUCACUUAUAGAUGGAUCCGCGCUGCAUUAUCUAGUUGGUAAGGUAACGGCUUACCAAGGCAACGAUGCAUUGCCGACCUGAGAGGGUGAUCGGCCACACUGGAACUGAGACACGGUCCAGACUCCUACGGGAGGCAGCAGUAGGGAAUCUUCCGCAAUGGGCGAAAGCCUGACGGAGCAACGCCGCGUGAGUGAUGAAGGUCUUCGGAUCGUAAAACUCUGUUAUUAGGGAAGAACAUAUGUGUAAGUAACUGUGCACAUCUUGACGGUACCUAAUCAGAAAGCCACGGCUAACUACGUG